AGUGAACGCUGGCGGUAGGCCUAACACAUGCCAGUCGAACGGCAGCACAGUAAUAGCUUGCUCUUACGGGUGGCGAGUGGCGGACGGGUGAUGAAUACAUCGGAAUCUACUGUUUCUUGGGUGAGAACGUAGGGAAACUUACGCUAAUACCGCAUACGACCUACGGGUGAAAGCAUGGGAUCUUCGGACCUUGCGCGAUUGAAUGAGCCGAUGUCGGAUUAGCUAGUUGGCGGGGUAAAGGCCCACCAAGGCGACGAUCCGUAGCUGGUCUGAGAGGAUGAUCAGCCACACUGGAACUGAGACACGGUCCAGACUCCUACGGGAGGCAGCAGUGGGGAAUAUUGGACAAUGGGCGCAAGCCUGAUCCAGCCAUACCGCGUGGGUGAAGAAGGCCUUCGGGUUGUAAAGCCCUUUUGUUGGGAAAGAAAAGCAGCAGGUUAAUACCCCGCUGUUCUGACGGUACCCAAAGAAUAAGCACCGGCUAACUUCGUG
RNAcentral lists this ribosomal RNA (492 nucleotides) under uncultured bacterium. RNAcentral describes it as "partial 16S ribosomal RNA". It matches the Rfam family "Bacterial small subunit ribosomal RNA", at positions 29 to 507 of the family's 1533-position model. The record is from RNAcentral.